AGACCCUACGGGGCGCAGCAGUGAGGAAUAUUGGUCAAUGGGAGAGAUCCUGGACCAGCCAAGCCGCGUGAGGGAAGACGGCCCUAUGGGCUGUAAACCUCUUUUGUCGGAGAACAAAACCCGGGACGAGUCCCGGACUGCGUGUAUCCGAAGAAAAAGCAUCGGCUAACUCCGUGCCAGCAGCCACGGUAAUACGGAGGAUGCGAGCGUUAUCCGGAUUUAUUGGGUUUAAAGGGUGCGUAGGCGGUCCGUUAAGUCAGCGGUAAAAUUGCGGGGCUCAACCCCGUCGAGCCGUUGAAACUGGG
This 305-nucleotide ribosomal RNA is filed under the name uncultured bacterium. RNAcentral's name for it is "bacterial SSU rRNA". It matches the Rfam family "Bacterial small subunit ribosomal RNA", at positions 334 to 637 of the family's 1533-position model. The record is from RNAcentral.